RNAcentral lists this long non-coding RNA (1254 nucleotides) under Equus caballus (horse). Its description in RNAcentral is "lncRNA (ENSECAG00000053181.1)". Lineage: Eukaryota; Metazoa; Chordata; Mammalia; Perissodactyla; Equidae. The record is from RNAcentral.
GUAGGUUAGUCAGGGGGUGGUUAACCUGGUCACCGCCUCUGGGCCACUGAAAGGCAGUCGGGUACCCACCAGUCAGAGAGUGCCCGUGUCUGUGGGAGGAGUGGGAUUCCAGGCCUUAAUUGGUCCUUAGAAGUCUUACAGGGGAUGUUAACUGGCUACUUCUCUGCUUCUCUUGCCCAAAUCCAUUAGGGUCUCGUCCUCACUAAAGAUUUUCCGGAUGGGCUUGAGAGUUAAUCUAGAUUCCAGGAUGUAAGACGGAAAGGGCCACAGGGCUCCUCUCUGAAAUGUGACUGGGAAAAUAGAGCUGCUGUCUCCUUGUCUCUGGGGGGUAGUGGAGGCCUAAUUUGGGGACCUCUUGGAGGUACAGCCCAACUCCAGACAUGAGUGAGGCCAUCUGAGACAGCCCAGUCCAGUCCCAACGCCGUAGGACCGCACGUGAUCUCCUCUGGGAGAGCCAGCCCAAACUACUGGGCCACAGAAUGAGUAGCACCUAAAAUCUGUGUUGGUUUAAGCCACUUCUGGUUGGAGUGGUUGGUUACGCACUAAUGGAUGUGGAUAUCCUUCCAUUGAGUCAUGGUUAUGGUGCCUGGACGGAAGUAAUUUGACUCAGCUUGCCGAACUGCCAGCAAAUCGAGUAUCGUCCCUCAGCUCCAGACAAUUCUUCAAAGCCCACCUUGUGAGGCCAAGGUUGAGAGUCUGCAAAGCGUGUUCCUCCUUUGCCUGCCACGUCCCUUGGGUUCUGCAGACAGGAGCCACAGAAGACGGGAAGGAAGAGGAGGAGAGGGAUCCAUGGAUAGAGCUGACUGGAAGGCAGAUGAUGAGAAAAGCUAAUGGAUUGUAUGAGCAUCGGGGGAGAAGGCCAGGAAGCAUCAAAACCCAACUGAAGGGAGAAGCAUCCAGGUGGUGGUUAUAGCGUCAUGAAAUGGCUGUCCCAGCUCACAGAAGGAAGAGGGAUUGCAGGCCAGAGCAAUUUUGCAGUGUCUGCUGACCUCAGAUCUAGGACCUUUCUGCUUAUGUGUCUCCCUUUUCAAGACUUGCUCAGACUCUCCAUCCUUUCCUGCCUGAAUCUCAUUUGAACUUGUUUGGAGGAGAGGAUCAUGAGCGGGGAGGGUGCUGCUGACGUGAAGGGCAUAUGCUGCCAAAGGGGCAUAUUUAACUGCCAGGAAAGUUCUGGAGAUCAUGAAGCUCAGGCUCCCAACUGCAAGAUAUGUUUCGUUUGGACGAAUUUGGAAGCAUCCUCCUACCAGAGACAAG